RNAcentral lists this ribosomal RNA (485 nucleotides) under uncultured bacterium. RNAcentral describes it as "bacterial SSU rRNA". It matches the Rfam family "Bacterial small subunit ribosomal RNA", at positions 31 to 507 of the family's 1533-position model. The record is from RNAcentral.
GAACGCUGGCGGCAUGCCUAACACAUGCAAGUCGAACGGUAACACGGAGAGCUUGCUCUCUGGCGACGAGUGGCGGACGGGUGAGUAAUACUUAGGAAUCUACCCAGUAGUGGGGGACAACAUUCGGAAACGGAUGCUAAUACCGCAUACGCACUACGGUGGAAAGUGGGGGACCUUCGGGCCUCACGCUAUUGGAUGAGCCUAAGUCGGAUUAGCUUGUUGGUGAGGUAAUGGCUCACCAAGGCGACGAUCCGUAGCUGGUCUGAGAGGACGAUCAGCCACACUGGAACUGAGACACGGUCCAGACUCCUACGGGAGGCAGCAGCAGGGAAUCUUGGACAAUGGGCGCAAGCCUGAUCCAGCCAUGCCGCGUGUGUGAAGAAGGCCCUAGGGUUGUAAAGCACUUUCAGUGGUGAAGAAACGCUUGAGGCUAAUACCCUCGAGUACUGACGUUAACCACAGAAGAAGCACCGGCUAACUCCGUG